This 391-nucleotide unclassified non-coding RNA is filed under the name soil metagenome. RNAcentral describes it as "partial contains 5.8S ribosomal RNA, internal transcribed spacer 2, and large subunit ribosomal RNA". The stretch from base 1 to 122 matches the Rfam family "5.8S ribosomal RNA", at positions 35 to 154 of the family's 154-position model. The record is from RNAcentral.
GAUGAAGAACGUAGCGAAAUGCGAUACUUGGUGUGAAUUGCAGAAUCCCGUGAACCAUCGAGUCUUUGAACGCAAGUUGCGCCCGAAGCCAUUAGGCCGAGGGCACGCCUGCCUGGGCGUCACACGUCGUUGCCCCCCCAUCUACUCCUUCGGGAUUGCGGGGGGCGGAUGAUGGCCUCCCGUGCGACGCGUCGCGCGGUUGGCAUAAAUGCCAAGUCCUCGGCGACGCACGCCACGACAAUCGGUGGUUGCGAAACCUCGGUUGCCCGUCGUGUGCGGUCGUCGCGCAUCGAGGGCUCGAAAAAAUUGCCGGGCUCCGGCUCGGCUUUCAACGCGACCCCAGGUCAGGCGGGGUUACCCGCUGAAUUUAAGCAUAUCAAUAAGCGGAGGA